GCCGGAGCUGACUGCGACAAGGUUGCAACACAAGCGUCCUAAGCCUUUGAUUUAGGCUGCGCAGCGUUGGACUGAGAAUCCGCGUGUCGGCGGUGCAAAUCCGUCCCUGGGCACCA
This 116-nucleotide transfer RNA is filed under the name Candidatus Odyssella sp. RNAcentral describes it as "tRNA-Leu". Lineage: Bacteria; Pseudomonadati; Pseudomonadota; Alphaproteobacteria; Holosporales; Candidatus Paracaedibacteraceae. The record is from RNAcentral.